UUAGUUGAAGCCAAAAUAGAGGCAUAUCACUGUUAAUGAUAACAUUGAACAUUAUAUUCCAACUAAA
This 67-nucleotide transfer RNA is filed under the name Paracercion v-nigrum. RNAcentral describes it as "tRNA-Asn". Lineage: Eukaryota; Metazoa; Arthropoda; Insecta; Odonata; Coenagrionidae. The record is from RNAcentral.